AGCACCUUAAUGAGAAACUGGCCAAGCUGACAGCCAGGUUUGAUACAGCCGUGGACGACAAGCUAAAAUGACAGCAGGAGGCUGAGUCCACCGCUUGCACCAUCUCCCUCUCAAACCACCUGGUGGAUGGUCUGACGUCGGAGAACGUGCCCUGGCUGGAGAACGAGCCCUGGCUGGAGAACGUGCACUGGCUGGAGAACGUGGCCUGACUGGAGAACGUGCCCUGGCUGGAGAACGUGCCCUGGCUGGAGAACGUGCCCUGGCUGGAGAACAUGCCCUGGCUGGAGAACGUGCCCUGGCUGGAGAACUUGCCCUUGCUGGAGAAUGUGUGCUGGGAGGAGGUGGUGUAGAGUUUCAGAUGUCGGGAGAGGACUUUGUGUAUCCUAGCUGGGAUACUUCACUAAGGGCUACUGCCACUAGCUCAUAGACAACACCUGGAGAUAUUUCCUCUGUCAACUACAGGGCGAGAGAAGACAGACAAUUACUAGGACGUUCACAUGACAAUAUCAAAAGCUUUAUGUGGGCUACAACACAGUUUGACAACAUGGGAGAUGGUUUGAAGAUUUUCCUAGUAACUGACUUACAUCCUACGACAGUAGUAUAUGCUGAUAAAGGAUGACCACAGCAGCUCCUCUCUCUCCCAGUGACCCCUGACCUGGACCCUCUGGCCAUGCUGAUGGACAACGCUGACAUUGUGGCGUGGCAGAACGAGGGGCCUGCCGGACGACAGGAUGUCCACGCUGUAAUCCAGAUGAGCAGAUCAAGUUUGCAAUGAAUAAUCUUCCACGAGACCACCUCUCACCAGAAGAGGGGAGGAGGGUUUUUGACACCUCCACUGCCUGUCGUACAUUAAGGUAGAAGAAGACUCUCUCCCUCCAUCUUACAAUGCGCAUUGGAAUGUGCCUUUGUUUCACAGGCAGUUUUCCCACCGAAACUCUAACACGCUCAAGAGUGAAUACUGGAACAAUAUUUCUAACAUAAGAAUUUGGGAAUGGUCAGUGGGGAGCUAUAGAAAACUGUCAUAUUGUUUUUUAUUUUGUGAUGUCAUUAAAAAUGGUAUGGACGAAAUACUAUAACUUA
Oncorhynchus gorbuscha (pink salmon) is the source of this 1080-nucleotide long non-coding RNA. RefSeq lists it as uncharacterized. The record is from RefSeq and is a predicted model, not a curated record. NCBI's taxonomy places the organism in Eukaryota, Metazoa, Chordata, Actinopteri, Salmoniformes, Salmonidae. The transcript has 2 exons.